RNAcentral lists this ribosomal RNA (562 nucleotides) under uncultured eukaryote. RNAcentral describes it as "SSU rRNA". It matches the Rfam family "Eukaryotic small subunit ribosomal RNA", at positions 4 to 565 of the family's 1831-position model. The record is from RNAcentral.
CUGGUUGAUCCUGCCAGUAGUCAUAUGCUUGUCUCAAAGAUUAAGCCAUGCAUGUCUAAGUAUAAACAACUUUAUACUGUAAAACUGCGAACGGCUCAUUAUAUCAGCAAUAAUUUAUUUGAUGGUUUCUUUCUACAUGGAUAACUGUAGUAAUUCUAGAGCUAAUACAUGCGUAAAGUCCCAACUCUCACGGGAAGGGAUGUAUUUAUUAGAUAAAAAACCAAUGCGGGUUCUGCUCGCCUUUGUGUUGAAUCAUAGUAACUUUUCGAACGGCAUUGCCUUGUGCUGGCCGUAGAUCAUUCAAAUUUCUGCCCUAUCAGCUUUCGACGGUUGUGUAGUGGACAACCGUGGCUUUGACGGGUAACGGGGAAUUAGGGUUCGAUUCCGGAGAGGGAGCCUGAGAAACGGCUACCACAUCCAAGGAAGGCAGCAGGCGCGCAAAUUACCCAAUCCUGACAGAGGUAGUGACAAAAAAUAACAAUACCUGCCUUUAUAGGUCGGGUAAUUGGAAUGAGUACAAUUUAAAUCCCUUAACGAGGAUCAAUUGGAGGACAAGUCUGGU